RNAcentral lists this ribosomal RNA (500 nucleotides) under uncultured bacterium. Its description in RNAcentral is "partial 16S ribosomal RNA". It matches the Rfam family "Bacterial small subunit ribosomal RNA", at positions 30 to 523 of the family's 1533-position model. The record is from RNAcentral.
AUUGAACGCUGGCGGAAUGCUUUACACAUGCAAGUCGAACGGCAGCACGGACUUCGGUCUGGUGGCGAGUGGCGAACGGGUGAGUAAUGUAUCGGAACGUGCCCAGUCGUGGGGGAUAACGUAGUGAAAAUUACGCUAAUACCGCAUACGAUCUAUGGAUGAAAGCGGGGGAUUGCAAGACCUCGCGCGAUUGGAGCGGCCGAUAUCAGAUUAGGUAGUUGGUGGGGUAAAGGCCCACCAAGCCAACGAUCUGUAGCUGGUCUGAGAGGACGACCAGCCAGCCUGAUACUGAGACCCGGGCCAGCCUCCUACGGGCGGCAGCAGUGGGGCAUUUUGGACAAUGGGCGAAAGCCUGAUCCAGCCAUUCCGCGUGCAGGAUGAAGGCCCUCGGGUUGUAAACUGCUUUUGUACAGAACGAAAAGGUUUCUACUAAUACUAGGAGCUCAUGACGGUACUGUAAGAAUAAGCACCGGCUAACUACGUGCCAGCCGCCGCGGUAA